GACGUAGGGCGCGAGCGUUGUCCGGAUUUAUUGGGCGUAAAGCGCGCGCAGGCGGAUCAGUAAGUCAGGUGUGAAAUUUCGAGGCUCAACCUCGAGACUGCGCCUGAAACUACUAGUCUAGAAUGUCGGAGGGGGCAGGGGAAUUUCACGUGUAGGGGUAAAAUCCGUAGAGAUGUGAAGGAACACCGGAGGCGAAGGCGCCUGCCUGGACGACUAUUGACGCUGAGGCGCGAAAGCGUGGGGAGCAAACAGG
This 253-nucleotide ribosomal RNA is filed under the name uncultured bacterium. RNAcentral's name for it is "partial 16S ribosomal RNA". It matches the Rfam family "Bacterial small subunit ribosomal RNA", at positions 524 to 776 of the family's 1533-position model. The record is from RNAcentral.